This 497-nucleotide ribosomal RNA is filed under the name uncultured bacterium. RNAcentral's name for it is "partial 16S ribosomal RNA". It matches the Rfam family "Bacterial small subunit ribosomal RNA", at positions 28 to 507 of the family's 1533-position model. The record is from RNAcentral.
GACGAACGCUGGCGGCGUGCCUAAUACAUGCAAGUUGAGCGGUGAAGGUUGGUACUUGUACCGACUGGAUGAGCAGCGGACGGGUGAGUAACGCGUGGGGAAUCUGCCUUUGAGCGGGGGACAACAUUGGGAAACGAAUGCUAAUAACGCAUAAAAACUUUAAACACAAGAUUUAGGUGUGAAAGAUGCAAUUGCCUCACUAAAAAGUGAUCCCGCGUUGUAUUAGCUAGUUGGUGAGGGUAAGGCUCACCCAGGCGGUGGUACAUAGCCGACGUGAGAGGGUGGACGGCCCAAUUGGGACUGGGACCAGGCCCAAACCCCCUCCGGAAGCCGCCGUAGGGAAUCUUCGGCAAUGGGCGAAAGUCCUACCCCGGACCUCCGCGUGAGGGAAAAAGGUUUUCGGGUCGUAAAAGUCUUUUUGUAGGGAAGAACGUUCGUGAGGUUGGAAAGCUCCUGAAGUGACGGUACCUACCGAAAAAGCAACGGCUAACUACGUG